CCAAAGCGGGGCAGCUCCUCUGUAAUGAAAGAGAGAGCCUUACAUUUUAUUGCAGCUGCACUGUGUACUUUCGCUUUUGUUUUCUGUGUUUCUUUUGUUGUGUCAUUUCGCUUUUGUUUUUUGUGCUUCUUUUGUUGUUGUGAUGACAGGGACGCUCCCCUGUAAAAGGAAGAGAGCGGGGACUUUUGUACUUUCACUUUCUUUAUAGCUCUAAAAACAUUAUGGGCGUUGCUUCUUCAAGCCCAAUUUUGUUGGCCCUAGAUGGGUUGUUACAUUCAAAAGGACUUAAGAUAAAGCAGAGUACUUUGCAGAUGUUUUUAAGAGAAGCUGAUAUAGCGGCUCCUUGGUUUGCUUUUUCAGGGAGUCUUACGGUUCCCAGCUGGGACAAAUUAGGGAAAGAUCUAGAUUUCGCUCAUGAGCAAGGUACCUUGCAGGGUGGCAUUAUACCACUUUGGAAGUUAGUUAGAGGAUGUAUAACAGAUGGUAAAUGCCAGGAAGCUGUGAGUGAGGGUCAAGCUAUUCUUGAGCAGCUGCAUGAGGAAAAAUCUGAAGGAUCAUGUAGUGAAGUGGCAGAGAGUAUUAAAAGUAACAGUAGUGAGAAGGCAAAAGAGCCUGAAGAUAAAAAUAGGAGAAGGCUCUACCCAGACUUGACCGAAUUAAAAAUGCCUGAGAACACAAGCGACUCAGAGAGUUCUGAGGACCUUGAUAUAUUGUUACAACAACUACAUAAGAUAAAAAUGAAAAAGAAGAAAAAGGAGACACAGGGCACGCAGGCCUACUAUAAGAAGGGGAAGGGAGUUAACAUCGGUCAACAAAACUCUGAGGAGGAGGAGGUAGAAUAUCUAGAAGAAGAUAUGGUGCCGAUUGCCCCACCUCCGUAUGUGGGGGGAGCCAAGGUUCCGGGAGAUCUUUUCAUGCACAAGUUUGGAGGACAGUUAAUACAGAUAUGGGACUUGCAUACCCUGUAUUUCAGGACAAUAACAGGGGAAGAUAUCAUGAGCCUUUAGACUUUAAGAUAAUUAAAACCUUGGCAGAAUCUGUCCGCACUUAUGGCAUAGAUGCUGCUUUCACUCUCACUCAGGUGGAGGGACUUACUAGAUUUUGCAUGACUCCCUCAGAUUGGGCUAGUCUAGUCCGCGCUUGUGUUUCCCCAGGGAAAUAUUAGGAGUCCAAAGUUGGCUGUUUAAUGUUUCUGGCAGUACCCAAGACUCGGAGCGAGAUUUUAUGAUUCCAGAAAUGCCUCCCGCAUCAUCGGGGAGUAUCUAUCCGGAACCUGGUCCAUGGAAGCAGAAAACUUGAUCCAGUCUCAACUAACUCAGAUUGCUGUUUUGAACAGUACCCGUGUCGAUCCCGUGACUUUGGGGUGCUGUCAACUUGUUUGUCGUUAUAAACAGCCACAGUUCAGCCUCAGCUAUCCCCCUUCGUCCACCAUCGUCACGAUACAGGAUGCGAGGCAAGGCACUGCACUUGAGUGAUCCUUGACGUGGACCUCAAGGAGAGCAUGUCCUAUUGCAUGCGGGUUCGACGCGUCCACGCCCCGCCCCACGAAAAAAGGCGUCGGCUGAUAUGGCUUCAGAUCUGGGGAAGGCGCCUCCUUAGGACUGAGUCAUACUAUGCAGCCACUUCUGCACAGUGGGAUAGGACCUCUACUCUCGCCUGUAUUGUUUUAAGAAAACAGAAAAGGGGGAACUGUGGUGAGCCGCUUCUGCCGUUUCUGCAGACUAUGGUCGCCAUUACAAGAUGACGCUGGCUCCGCUGUGGUCUGUGACAAACAACUCCUUAUCUGGGAGAGUUGGCACAUGAUUUUUCACCACCCUGUACAUCACCCUGUGAGAAAGCUCCACGCGGCAGCUUCGCAUUGGGGCUUGAGAUGCUUUAUUAAGGCUGGGAGGGGCAUCCGAGAGGGAGAAGAAGAAAUAUCAAGGGCCUGAAUAAACUGCUGAAAGAA
Molecule: RNA transcript, 1948 nt
Organism: Marmota monax (woodchuck)
Lineage: Eukaryota; Metazoa; Chordata; Mammalia; Rodentia; Sciuridae
Exons: 3
Source: RefSeq, a predicted model, not a curated record